GGGUGGUCUAUUGGUUCGGUAGUUUCCAUUCGUAUGGAAUUCGGAUGGAAACUAACGAACAAUCAUACGAAUUCUACUUACAAUUAACUAUACAGCAGAAAUAACACACGAAUUGCAGGAUUCUCAUAGUCUUUAAGGACAGCCUUAGUACCAUCCGCUACAAUCCAUAUCAACUUUCGAUGCAACUUUCUGCGCCUACCAUGGUGACCACGGGUAACGGGGAAUCAGGGUUCGAUUCCGGAGAGGGAGCCUGAGAAAUGGCUACCACAUGCAAGGAAGACAGCAGGCACGCAAAUGACCCACUCCCGAUGUGGGAAGGUAGUGACGACAAAUAACAAUACAGGACUCUUUAGAGGCCCUGUAAUUGUAAUGAGUCCACUU
Non-coding RNA from Pelobates cultripes (western spadefoot toad), 381 nucleotides. The record is from the annotation of a GenBank genome assembly. Lineage: Eukaryota; Metazoa; Chordata; Amphibia; Anura; Pelobatidae.